RNAcentral lists this ribosomal RNA (762 nucleotides) under uncultured Streptococcus sp. Its description in RNAcentral is "bacterial SSU rRNA". It matches the Rfam family "Bacterial small subunit ribosomal RNA", at positions 28 to 776 of the family's 1533-position model. Lineage: Bacteria; Bacillati; Bacillota; Bacilli; Lactobacillales; Streptococcaceae. The record is from RNAcentral.
GACGAACGCGGCGGCGUGCUAAUACAUGCAAGUAGAACGCUGAAGGAGGAGCUUGCUUCUCUGGAUGAGUUGCGAACGGGUGAGUAACGCGUAGGUAACCUGCCUGGUAGCGGGGGAUAACUAUUGGAAACGAUAGCUAAUACCGCAUAAGAGUAGAUGUUGCAUGACAUUUGCUUAAAAGGUGCAAUUGCAUCACUACCAGAUGGACCUGCGUUGUAUUAGCUAGUUGGUGGGGUAACGGCUCACCAAGGCGACGAUACAUAGCCGACCUGAGAGGGUGAUCGGCCACACUGGGACUGAGACACGGCCCAGACUCCUACGGGAGGCAGCAGUAGGGAAUCUUCGGCAAUGGACGGAAGUCUGACCGAGCAACGCCGCGUGAGUGAAGAAGGUUUUCGGAUCGUAAAGCUCUGUUGUAAGAGAAGAACGAGUGUGAGAGUGGAAAGUUCACACUGUGACGGUAUCUUACCAGAAAGGGACGGCUAACUACGUGCCAGCAGCCGCGGUAAUACGUAGGUGGCAAGCGUUAUCCGGAUUUAUCGGGCGUAAAGAGAGUGCAGGCGGUUUUCUAAGUCUGAUGUGAAAGCCUUCGGCUUAACCGGAGAAGUGCAUCGGAAACUGGAUAACUUGAGUGCAGAAGAGGGUAGUGGAACUCCAUGUGUAGCGGUGGAAUGCGUAGAUAUAUGGAAGAACACCAGUGGCGAAGGCGGCUACCUGGUCUGCAACUGACGCUGAGACUCGAAAGCAUGGGUAGCGAACAGG